AGCACUUCGGUGUGAGUAGAGCGGCGGACGGGUGAGUAACGCGUACGAAUCUACCCAGUAGUGGGGGACAACUCGGGGAAACUCGAGCUAAUACCGCAUACGCCCUACGGGGGAAAGCGGGGGACCUUCGGGCCUCGUGCUAUUGGAUGAGCGUGCGUAAGAUUAGCUUGUUGGUGAGGUAAUGGCUCACCAAGGCGACGAUCUUUAGCUGGUCUGAGAGGAUGAUCAGCCACACCGGGACUGAGACACGGCCCGGACUCCUACGGGAGGCAGCAGUGGGGAAUAUUGGACAAUGGGCGAAAGCCUGAUCCAGCAAUGCCGCGUGUGUGAAGAAGGCCUGCGGGUUGUAAAGCACUUUCAGUUGGGAAGAUGAUGACGUUACCAACAGAAGAAGCACCGGCUAAAUCCGUGCCAGCAGCCGCGGUAAUACGGAUGGUGCGAGCGUUAAUCGGAAUUACUGGGCGUAAAGCGCGCGUAGGCGGCUAAGUCAGUCAGAAGUGAAAGCCCCGGGCUCAACCUGGGAAUUGCUUUUGAUACUGCUUAGCUAGAGUUUGGUAGAGGAUAGUGGAAUUCCAGGUGUAGCGGUGAAAUGCGUAGAUAUCUGGAGGAACAUCAGUGGCGAAGGCGACUGUCUGGACCAAAACUGACGCUGAGGUGCGAAAGCGUGGGUAGCAAACAGGAUUAGAUACCCUGGUAG
Molecule: ribosomal RNA, 697 nt
Filed under: uncultured Gammaproteobacteria bacterium
Lineage: Bacteria; Pseudomonadati; Pseudomonadota; Gammaproteobacteria
Description: bacterial SSU rRNA
Rfam family: Bacterial small subunit ribosomal RNA
Source: RNAcentral